This is a long non-coding RNA of Parus major (Great Tit), 9159 nucleotides long. RefSeq lists it as uncharacterized. The transcript has 5 exons. NCBI's taxonomy places the organism in Eukaryota, Metazoa, Chordata, Aves, Passeriformes, Paridae. The record is from RefSeq and is a predicted model, not a curated record.
CCUGCAGGUUUGGGACAAGUGUCUGGGGCAAUGGACAGCACAGAGGCAACUGGAGCUCAGCCAGGGGCUGUUUAAUUGACCCAAGUGUCCCAGGCAAUCUCAGAACACACCAGUUGCUCUGUCUUGCACUGGAAACCAGAACACAGCAAGCUACAGAGGUUUUUAGACCUCUACCACCAUCCUCACUUUUCCAUUCACCCCCUGUACUGGGUUUGCUGAUGGUACAGCAAAGGUGUUGUUAGCAUUGCCAGCACUGUGCAGUUAUUUACAACUGUAAAAUUAGGUCAAAUGCUUUGAAUGUGAUUACAGAACAGAGGUCAGGUCCAUCUUACAGUGACUUUGGACUAUCCGGAGAGAGGGAUAUUUGGGUUCCAGUCAGCGAUAUCGGGAUAUAGAUAGCACAGCAGGAGCAGAACAGAAGUUCAUGAGUCUUUAAACAAUAGAAAAAGGAACUUAAAACAGACUCCUUGGAAUGUAACUGGAAAACAGGUGAGUAGGAAAAAAAGAAAACAAAUGCAAAUAAUUUCAGGUUUCCAGUUCUUCAAAAAUUAUAGUGGUUCAGUUAUGUGAUGAGCAGCUAUUUUCUCUGAAAAGCAGGCAAAAUAUAAAGUCAAAGAAAAAUGAGAAUGUAUGUACAUAUGUAUACACUUUGAAAGCUUCCUGUUGAAUUAUGAAUACCUUCAAAUCAUAAAAUACAAAGGCUGUCAGUGGUUUCCAUAGAAGUUUGAACAUGCAGUUUCACUUGUUCACAGAGCAGUCUGUGUGUGCUAUCACAUUAAAACCAGAGAAAAGUAAGAAAGACACAAACAUCUUGUAGGUAAAAUUUAAAAAAAAACCAACAAAAAAACCCACAAACCUGAUUGACAGACUGAGUAGUUAUUAAAGGGGAAUUCAGAGUGGAGAGGCAUGAGGAACAGACUUCUCUAAGAAUUGGCUUUUAUCAUACAACAGUUGAUACAUUAAUUGCAAAAGGUGAAGCGUUUCCUUCCCCUGGAGAAGUGGGGAGGUUAAAAAUGGGAAGGUUCACCUGUAGCAGCCAGCAGCUGCACUGAUGUAGCAGAGAUGCUGCAAUGGGACAUUGUUCUUGUGGUGACAGAGGCAGGAGCUUGCACAGCCCUCCAUGGGCACCACCAAUGUGAGGACUACAGGGGAUACCUGAAGCUGUCAUGGGGUGGAGGGCAUGACCCUGAGGAACAGUGUAUUAGGGACUGACAAAGCACCCAGAAGCUGUGGGCUUGGCAUUAGCUCUUCCACUGCUUCCUCCACACCAUACUCCCAGGAUACCUGGAGAAAGGAUGUGCCAGGAUGGGCUGUCACAGCUGUGGAACUGGGGAGAUCUGUGGAAUGAAACACAUGGGCCUUGCAAGCAGCUAUGGAACCACAGGCAGGAGGGCAAGCAGGGCUGAGGGUGUCAUGACACCAGCAGAGAACAGCCAGGCUGACAACAGGCACAGGGCUCUUGGCAGCAGCAGGCUCUGCCCAUCCUGGACAGUCAGUCCUUGUUCCAGGUCAGCAAGCUGGGACCAGCAAGGGUCAAGCCUGGAUGUGGCCCCACCUGCAGUGGCAGCAGCUGGGUCCUUUAGGGAUCCAGGAAGGGUGUUGAGGUUGCACAUGUUCCCCUGGUGAAGGGCACAGGAUGUGGAGUGUUACCACUGGUCUACAAAGCCUCCACUUUCAGUCACAGUGACUGUCCAGCUGUGAGCUGAUGUCCUGAUCCAGUCUCACUCCCAAGAAAGUGACUGAUGACUGGGACUAGGUCUGUCCCUAGUGCCUCCUGGCCUGCUCUGCUCCCUGGCUGGGAUGAUGCUGGGUCCUGCUCUGCUGCCCCAGGGAGCCCACAUGGCUCCCACCUCCCAGACAGCUUAGGGUCCCAAUGACCUAGAGGGCCAUAGAAAAUACAGCCUCAUGAACUGCAGGCAGCAAAGAAAAAUUUCCAGCAAGAAUUGUGUGACUGAACCUCAGCUCAAGACUGUUGUCAGUAAUUCAGGGAGGAAAACCACGAAAGGAGCUGGAGAAAGGGGGCCCAGAGCAGGAGGGAAGUACUGCAUCUGCAGGCACAGCCCGGGAGCACAGGGGUCUGCCCAGGAAGGAAGAGCUGUGAGCAUCUCAGUGAAGAAGGAGGAAGCAGUUCUGAUGGAAACAGUGACCUGGAUCCUCAGAUCACUGAAUUGCAGGAAGACUUGGAGUCUAAUUGAGCAGCCAGAAACAAAAACAAACCCUAAACAACAACAACAACAACAAAAAACUUGAGUAGAAACUCAUGGACUGAGGAGAAAUUGGAGAUCCUUCAUACAUCACCAAAGCUUUCUGGAAGGAGAAAAAGGAUGACGCUGUCUGAGAAAGCAACUUCCAGGUCAAGCUGGACAAUAGCCAAGGCUUUCCGAAACUUGGGAAAAAUUUUCCAAAAAAAUGGGAAAAUAAUUCAGUUGAACAAGCAGAAAGUUUCUCAGCUGGACAAUACACAGAAGCAGACCCAGCAGGCAAACCCCAGCACGUGGCCAGUGAAGACAGUUCCAUUGCUCUGGAAAUCUUAGAGUGAUUUGGAUUGGAAGGCAUCUUAAGAUCAGCUGUGCCCUAACUCUAUGGACAGCUGUGUGCAGCCUCAGUAAGUGGGAACUGGAUCAUUCAAUAAUUAUAUGCAAUUUUUACAUGUAAUCAUAUCAUAUUGGCAUCUUCUAUUGAUUUUCUUUGCUGCUAAAAAGGAAGUUGUUUGAAAUGAAGCCAUUAAUAUAGGAAGAUACACAGAUUUCUAGCAACAACGUGUGGAGAUCUGAAUAGAAUUCUACAAAGGAAAAACCUUCCUCCUCUGGAGAGCAUGUAUUCAUGAUGCCCAGAAAGGCCUUGAAACAAGGAGUCUGAAUGACUGGAAGGCACAGGCUGCAGCACACCAUCAGAACUCUACUAAUGCAAACCCUCAUGUGGAUGACCUUGUACUAGACUGACUAGAGAGAUUUCUGUAUAGUUUGUGUUUAUGGGCAUAAAGAGCAAGUUCAACCUGGUUAUUAUUAUCCGGAUUUGAUAUACAUCAGUCAGCUGGUUUAAAGCAGAACCCUGAGGCCAGAUCUCUUGUGAUGUUCAGAGCAAAGUCCAUUCAUGUAGCCAUGCUGUCACCAGUCCCUCUGUGGCUUAACCUGUACCUGCCUUCUUUUUACCACCCUCAUUUCUGGCAGGGAAGUAAUUCCUGUUAUCCCAUCACAUACUGAGGGCAAGCUGUGCUUGCAAAUCACAGCCUGCCCAGCACUCUGUGUGUGAUGGGCACCUGCCUGCCCCAUCCUUGCUCAGCAUGGUCCCUUUCAUGUCUGCUGAUGCACAGAUGGGAAUUGGUGGGGAGAGCUCAUUUCCCCAGGCUGGGUGCCAGAGAAGCAAGCAGCAGUGCUGAGGCUCUUGGUUAUGUGUGUCCAGAGGAGGCUGCUUGUACUGUUCCCAUUAGAGAAAGCAUCAGGAGACACUGAAGCUUGAGCAUUUUGUGACCCCCAAGGAAGAUAUCAGAAGGACUGAGGGAUCCACCAGCUGUCAUCAGGAGAAAGACAGACAUAGCUGAGGUAGGUGACAGCACAGGCAGAAAAAUACACUUGCAGAAACCUGACUAGCAGCAGAGUGCAGUUGGCAAGACAGUAACGGACAUAGGAAGGCAUCACUUCAUGAAGAAGUGCUCUGGCUAAGCAGGUGAGUGCUAUUGGAGAUCCCUAGAGGAGGUAACACUGCUCUCUUCAGUCACAGCCAGCCUGCCUUUGAUAGCACGGAGCAGCACCCAGCUUUCAUCUGCCACUUUGCAAGUACACAGAGAUUCUAAAGAGAGAAAGAAGAGAAUCUAGAGAAUCACAGGACUCGCUCAUACUUCUUAAAUUUUCCUUCCUGAUGGAUCUCUGAAAUCACAAUCUCUUGUCCUGUAUUCCCAUCUCUAAGACUGAAGGUCUCCAGUACAUCCUUACAUGCCCCUCUGUACUCUGGUGGCUGCUUCUGCAUGGACCAGUCUCCUGAGGCUCUACACUGUGUCUGGAAGCUCUGCAGUCUGAGGUACCUUGGGGUGUCUAAAGUGGUGGGUAGGCAAUUGCUUAUCUGCCCUACUGCCAGUACGUGCUCCAUUUCCUGUAGGCCCUUCUUUCUUCCAUUUUGGCUUCCGUCCUGGCCUCGAGACUUACCAAGAAUUUGAAAAUAAUCUCCAAAAUUUCAAGCAUUUUGCUAGAGUUGUGACUGCUGAGAGUCCAUGUUAAAGCCACAGCUUCUGCAUCAGUGAAGGAAGGAGAGGGCUGGGUGCUGGAUCUGAGAACUGCAUAGCUCACUGGGACACUGACAGAGCAUUUUCUUCCUCUCCUUGAAAGGAAAAUGAUGAACUAGGAAAGUAUGUGGGAGAAGGAAUCUCGUGUUUGUGGGUUCAGAUGCCUGGCACAAGCAAUUUUCAGUAGCCUUGGCAGGUAGGGGCGCAGCACAGUGUCACUUCUUUGAUUGCGCUGGUUAUCCAGCCCCACCAGGUGUGUGAGGCCAAGGGGUCUAAACAGGGUAGGUCCAGCAGAGGACCUCCCAUGAGGGAAGGAAUUCCAUCAGCUGGUAAGUCCUUGCAACUUCUUUCAUCCCGAAUUUUCUUGUUUGUUUUUUGUUGGUUUUGUUUCGGUGGAGUUUCUCCCUUGUGCCUUUGCUUUUCCUUCUCUUUCUGCUAGUCUUUUUAAACGUUUCAGUGUGUAAUGCUUUCCUGACCAAAAAUAUCAGUAAGAAAGGAAACAGAAGUUAGAAACCUGCCACCAUUCUGAAGUUCAUUCACGGUGUGGGUGUAAACAGGCUCAAUUUUAACAACAUAGCACACUUUCUCCCACGGCUACCUCUCUUACUGGCCAUGGAAACAGAAGAGUAUUGGCUUUUUCCAGAGCGUCAUCACGAAUCCUUAACUGUUAAAACCAGCAGACAUUCAGGCAACCAGACCAACACUGGGAAUGCUAAAUGUUGCACGCUCAAAACCAUAUGAGCAAAGCAUUUGUUUGCCCUCAAACCUAGGGAACAGCCUACUAAUAAAGCUACCCCAAGUGAAUUAAAAGAAGCUUUCUUGACCUAAAAGGAGCUAUUCUUUCAAAGCAUGUGGUUUUCCAGUGGAACACAUACAAGAAUGGCUGGUUUUGAAGUGGAAAGACAAAAGAACUUACUGAUAGCACAAGGGAAAAGGCACACACAUAGAGGGUGUGCAAGAAGUGUUUAAAGACACGUUCAGCAACUGGCAUUCAGACAUGAAGAAGAAAUUCUGCAGUAAGCACAGGUAAGAUAAGCUGCUUUAUAUAAGGGGAAAAAAAAAAAAAAAGCAGUUGAGGGCUAACAGCACAGUCUCUUUUUCCAGAAGUUUGGAAAACCAGGAACAUAGAGCUGCCAGUCUCCUCCAGGCCAGAAUUGCCACAAAAUGGCAUUUGGAAACUAGAUAGAUAUAAGAAGCUUUCUCAUGUACUGGGAAGCAGGAAAGAGAUUCUUACAAAGCUAACUUAAGUGUAUCAAGGAUGCUGUUCAAAUGGACAGGGAGUGUUCAAAGCUGGAAAUUUGAGUCCAAAUAUAUAGAUAGCAGAACAACACAGUAUACAAAAAGCACCUAAAAGAACACUGCAAACAAGCCAGAAAAAGACUUGGUAAUGCACUGAUCUCAGGGUCCAGAGGUGUCAUAACAAAAUAAUGAAGUGUCACCUCACUUUUCCUUACUUGAGGACGCACAUACAAAUUACUCCAGGCUGCAUCAACAAGCACAUAUGGACCUGAGACUACAGAAAAAUGUAACAUGUGCCAAGCUAGCAGCCAAAUGUGGGUUCAAGAGUCACAGACCAUAGGGGAAGAUUCUGGGUCACAUUAAACUAUGAGAUCUUGUUGUUGUUAAAAGAUGAGCAAAAUUGGGAAGCGCAAGAAAACUGUUCAAGUUUUGCUGAGUUUUCAGAUCUGAGUCUGCUAAAUUAAUGUUUUAUAUAAAAUAACACAAUUUUAUAAUAUGUUUCCAACUAGUCAUUUUACAGCUUUUCACAGAUGGUCUGAAGUAUGUAUGAAAAUAUAACACAAGUGAAAAAUUCCUUGCCUUUACAGCAUCCUUAUAUGCUCUCUCAUAUGCACACCUCCUGCAUGUCCUGCAGCAAGAGUUUAAAUGUUAUGAUUUUGUGACCACUGGUGGUUUUGUGGUGGUGAAGUGAGGCUGGAGAUGUGGGAGCAAAAGAAGCUGAGCAAGAAAGAGUGAUGUUUCCAGUAGGAAAACAGAAUGUGCAAAUGCAAGGGACUUGCAAUGAAAAGUAAAAAAAUCAGAGGAGGUGGUGUUAGCAGCACUCAGUUCAUCUAGGAAAGGAUAGAGGUUGGCUGAGAUGCAAGGUAAAGAGACAUCCAUCAGGAGUGGGGACCAGCAGAGCUGUAGGUGUUAGCUGAAGCCCUCCAGGCAGAUGAGGUGGUCUCCAGAAGGUCACCCAGGAGACAUCUGUGUCCUUAACAUGGGAGGAAGGAGUAGAUAGGGUUGCUGAAGACUCCCAUGUGGAGAGGGCAGGGAACAGACGAGGGCAAAGAAGGAUUAAAAAUGUGCCUGGGAUGGGAAUAGAGGGAGGACACUGGGGUCCUGGUCCAAGGGUCUUUGAGGAAAGGAAAGGAUACAAUUUCAAAGGGAAUGUGCAAUUCAUGGCAUCAGAAGCAGCAACACAACUAGAGGAAUGGGGAUAGAGAUGGAGGAGUGAGAGGCUGUGAAGCUUAAUGGUGAAAGCACUGGAAUAAAGGUAUAGAUCAGGGUUUUUAGGCUGAGGAUAGAUUUAGCUGUGGUGCUGGCUGGAUUCUCCCAUUCAGAGGACAAGGAAGAAGAAAGGUGUGUAAGGGUGGGAUUUAGGGACAAGGGGAAAUUAUAAGAUGCUUACAUUGGAGGCCUUGAUAAAGGAGCCUGGAGGAAAGUGAGGAUUUGGAGCUGUGAAAGAUUAAGGCUAAAGAAGGUGGCAGAGAAUACAGUUUCUGGGGUAUUUGGAUAAACAGGAGCAGAGAAUGGGUAAUGCUGUUGACUGUUUAAGAGCCAGGGAGAGUACAGGAGAGGAACAAGCCUGGCUCAGACCUGGGAGAAGCUGUCAGUACCCUUGCACAGGGGUAGAAGAAAGAGAAGACCUGUGUGAAGCAGUAACCUGAGGUGAUAGGCAGGGGUCUGAAGGGAAGGAAACUGUAGGAGGACUGGGAGAGAGGAUGGAGCAAGAGGUGUUAAGAGAGAGCGCAGAAGAUGUGAGUAGUAGGGAGAUAAAGAGGAAGGAAAGGGCAGAGCAGUGCAGCAAAGCUUUGUGUGGUUGAGGAGUGCAAGAGAAAAAGAGGAUGGGAGUCAGACAGCAGAGGUAGUGUGAAGGUGGAAAGGAUGGAGAGAUGGAAUUAUUCCAGGGUGGGAGGGAAGGAGAAAGACAAAUGAAUAGGCAAAUUAUAACUAAUGCGAUAAUUAACUGCUACAGCAGUAAUCUGAUUGUCACCCAAAAAAGAGGAUGAAGCAGGGAGUUUGUGAGAGAGGGGGAGGCAUGAUCAGGCUGGCAGAGGAGCAGAAGUGGGCUGAGCCCAGUGGGGUGCAGAGGCAGUGUGGCAGGGAGCAGCAGGAGCAGAUGCUGGGGCUGUAGUUCCUAUGGCAACAUAGGAAGGCAAAUGCAACAAGUGUGCCAAGGUGGCAGCGUUAGCAGGGGACAGCUCGGUGCGUUUCCGUGUCACACUGCUCAGGGUGGGCAUGGAGCCGUGCACAUCCCUGGGCAGCAGGGCACCAGGGCUCUGCCCUUGCAGAAACCACCACAAGUUACUGGCAGGUUUUGAGGCCCGACCCCCUUCACUGCUGCUAAAUGGGUGUCUUUUGCUCUCUUUCUCCAACCCUAGGAAUCCCAAAGUGCAGCACAGCGAGAGCUGCUGAGCAUCUUGUCAGCAGUGAGGUGCCUGUGUGCCGCAUGGUGAGGGGAUAGCUCUGCAGGGAACAAUGGGAGAAUGAGCAUCCCCCCUCCUCAUGCCCAUGUGCCAUGGGGCUGGGGGCUAAAUCUCCCAUGUCCUGGCUCAGCCUGGCCUGCUGGCACAUACCUCCCGACACCUGCAGUGUGUAGGUGCCCUCCAGCACGGCUGCCAUAGUGUGAGGCCAGGAGGCAGGAAAAGCACAUGGCUUUCACAGGUCUUAUUUUUCACUCAUUAAUUUUGGCAGAGUUUUCCCUUUUUUUUCCUUUAUUAUCUCCUGUAAUUAAGCAGCAGUUUGGGUCUGCAGCUACUCCACACCAUUGUGCUCAUAUCCUGUGCAAAACAGCUGGAGACAGAACACAAAGGCAAUUUUUCCUAUUGCUCCGACACUCGGACAGAAGGAGCAACCCUGCGGAGUGUUCAGCAAAGAUGCCGCUCCUUCUACCCUGCCCCAGCAGGAGAUCCAUCUCCAUGCUGCCCGCCGGAGAUCCGUGCGCCCCGCAGCAGCGCUCGGGCUCUCCGCGGGCUCGCAGCUGCAUCCAACAGCAGAGGGAGCUCCGCGAGAGGAAGAGGAGCAGGCGAAGCUCGGCAGGAGCAGCCCCAGGAAGGAGGGAGGCGGGCAGGGGUGAGCAGAGGUAACCGCAGGCUGCUCUGCUGCACCAGAAAGUUUCAGUGACAUUUUGAGAAACUCUGGUGCCACGGUUCACACCAGGAUGAAAGGAAAGCAGUGAAUAUGUCUUUGUGGCACCCACUGGAAGCUGAUGGCCAUUUCUGCCGCAUUUGGGAUGACAGCAAUACCAGCCAGCCACAUCACAGCCCCUACAAAGCCAGAUCGUGGCUAUGACUCUCUAGCCACAGAGAUCAGAGCAAGGAAAUAAAUAUAUUGGUCUUUCCAUCCCUUGUUCUCUGUGGUCCCGGGUGCAGCACAAGAGCAGGCAUGAUUCAUUCUACAGUCUCUGGGCAACCCAAGGGAAAAUCGCCUGCUAAUUUCAGUUUCUGAUGUCAGAACGUAUAAUUAACCUGACAAAGCAAAACGUUAUUUUAGGUUAAGGCAUGAUCAGACCUUCUUUCUCCCUCUACCUAUUUCUAAAUGGUAAUAAGUUGAAGGUGUUUGAGGCUGGGGGAGGUAUGUGUUUUGUGGUGGCUAUACUGUGUUGGCAGUUAAUUUGCUGCUCUUAUGCUCACUAAUACAUUAAAAUAUUACCAAUGCUUUCUCCAGUUAAUUUAUAUUCAAGUUAAAUGCAGAGAAAUAAAAUUAUUUGGACAUUAGAA